GAUGAACGCUGGCGGCGUGCCUAAUACAUGCAAGUCGAACGCUGACGGAGGAGCUUGCUCUUCUGGAUGAGUUGCGAACGGGUGAGUAACGCGUAGGUAACCUGCCUGGUAGCGGGGGAUAACUCUUGGAAACGAUAGCUAAUACCGCAUGACAACAGUUAUUGCAUGAUAACCGUUUAAAAGGGGCAACUGCUCCACUACCAGAUGGACCUGCGUUGUAUUAGCUAGUUGGUGAGGUAACGGCUCACCACGGCGACGAUACAUAGCCGACCUGGGAGGGGGAUCAGCCACACUUGGGCUUGGACACGGCCCAGGAUCCUACGGGAGGGAGCAGGAGGGAAUCUUCGGAAAUGGACGGAAGUCUGACCGAGCAACGCCGCGGGAGUGAAGAAGGUUGUCGGGUCGGAAAGCUCUGUUGUAAGGGAAGAACGAGUGUGAGAGUGGAAAGUUCACACUGUGACGGUAUCUUACCAGAAAGGGACGGCUAACUACGUG
RNAcentral lists this ribosomal RNA (495 nucleotides) under uncultured bacterium. RNAcentral describes it as "partial 16S ribosomal RNA". It matches the Rfam family "Bacterial small subunit ribosomal RNA", at positions 28 to 507 of the family's 1533-position model. The record is from RNAcentral.